Hyla sarda is the source of this 695-nucleotide long non-coding RNA. RefSeq lists it as uncharacterized. The transcript is spliced from 5 exons. Lineage: Eukaryota; Metazoa; Chordata; Amphibia; Anura; Hylidae. The record is from RefSeq and is a predicted model, not a curated record.
GUGAUUUCUGAUGAGCGAUGACCCUGAUGUUAUGCCGAGAAGCAGAGCGGAAGGACUUCACUUGUCACACCCUCGUCUAGUUGGAGCCAGAGUCUGGAGAAGUCGUGCUGCCAGACACAGGCCUAAUAAACCCAGCCACGGAAGACGCCAUUCAGCUAUGAAUUAAAUACUCUCCUGUAGUUAAUUCCUGCACUUUGAUAGACAUGGCAGGAUUCAUACAGAGCCCAAUGCAAAUGAGAUUCUUUUAUUUAUUGUGUGCGCCUUAGAAAUGGGUUUCCUAGAAGGCCUUAACCCUGACUUUAACACCAUUCGUGUAAUUACAUCUAGAAAAGGGCAUUCUCUAGAGAAGACUCACUAUUCAUCCUUCAUUCAAAUUCCGGUGACCUUCCUUCUUACUUAGACCUCAAUGGAUUCCUGCCCACAGCCUAGAAAACACUGGAUACUAUGUUGAAAAAUUCACGUGGACGGCACCUGCCAGUAUGCGCUGGCCAAAAUAAUCCGGUUUGGAGCAUUGCAACAAAUGUUACUACGUAUGCUGAACAAAAAAAGAGUGAAAAACUAAUAGAACCAUAUAAAACUGAAUGAGAUGACAAGUCAGACUGAUAAAAGGACCGUUUCUCAGCAAGAAGACUUGGCUGGUUCUCUUUGCGGUGAACUUGUCAGUCUGUUGCAUUCAUUUCAAGUAAAUAUAGCGG